UACAUCGGAACGUGUCCCGUAGUGGGGGAUAGCUCGGCGAAAGCCGGAUUAAUACCGCAUAUGCUCUACGGAGGAAAGCAGGGGAUCCGCAAGGACCUUGCGCUAUGGGAGCGGCCGAUGUCCGAUUAGCUUGUUGGUGAGGUAAAGGCUUACCAAGGCGACGAUCGGUAGCUGGUCUGAGAGGAUGAUCAGCCACACUGGGACUGAGACACGGCCCAG
This 219-nucleotide ribosomal RNA is filed under the name uncultured bacterium. RNAcentral describes it as "partial 16S ribosomal RNA". It matches the Rfam family "Bacterial small subunit ribosomal RNA", at positions 114 to 334 of the family's 1533-position model. The record is from RNAcentral.